Long non-coding RNA from Solanum pennellii, 470 nucleotides. RefSeq lists it as uncharacterized. Lineage: Eukaryota; Viridiplantae; Streptophyta; Magnoliopsida; Solanales; Solanaceae. The transcript has 2 exons. The record is from RefSeq and is a predicted model, not a curated record.
AGCAGCCACACCACCAUCAAUUAGGUUGAAUUCAUUUUCAUUAUUUUGAGCAUCCUUGGUCUUGAAACUAUGGGCAGGUAGAAAUGUUGGCGCUGCCGAGGUACCAAUGCAAAUGUCCGCUAGUUCCGCAUCCAAAACAGUACUAUUAAGGGGUAUAGAAGACACCUCAUAUGAGCUGAAGAUGACAGGCUGAAGUUCCUUGAUGUCAAAAGUUGGGAUUACGACGGCAGUUAAGGUAUCAUGCAACCUGGUACCUCCUAGGAGUCCCUUUAUAAGUGUGUGAAGAUACUUCCCAUCAUAUUUUGGUCUGUUCAACAUUUUUGUUAGAUUUAUCGCCCCACCAAAUGGUCCACUGCAAAAAUCCAAAAUCAAGAGAUGUGUAUUUUAAGGGUGUGGUCUAAUAACCAAAAAGAAAAAUCAAGAACUAUAUGUAUAAAAAAAAUUUAGGUAGCAUGGUUUACCCAAUCUGA